GAGGGUAUAGCUCAGUGGUAGAGCACGUGCUUAGCAUGCAUGAAGUCCUAGGUUCAAGCCUCAGUACCUCCA
This 72-nucleotide transfer RNA is filed under the name Camelus bactrianus (Bactrian camel). It matches the Rfam family "tRNA". From Rfam's summary of the family: Transfer RNA (tRNA) molecules are approximately 80 nucleotides in length. The record is from Rfam by way of RNAcentral. RNAcentral also lists the same sequence under 2 other names. Lineage: Eukaryota; Metazoa; Chordata; Mammalia; Artiodactyla; Camelidae.